UACAGAGGAGCCAAGCGUUGUCCGGAUUGACUGGGCGUAAAGCGCACGCAGGCGGACGCGCGCGUGGGGUGUGAAAUCUGGCCGCUUAACGGCCAGGCGCCAUCCCAUACGGCGGGUCUGGAGUGAUGCAGAGGGCGGUGGAAUUGCCGGUGUAGUGGUGAAAUUCGUAGAUAUCGGGAGGAACACCGGUGGCGAAGGCGGCCAUCUGGACGGAUACUGACGCUGAGACGCGAAAGCGUGGGUAGCAAACAGG
Molecule: ribosomal RNA, 253 nt
Filed under: uncultured bacterium
Lineage: Bacteria
Description: partial 16S ribosomal RNA
Rfam family: Bacterial small subunit ribosomal RNA
Source: RNAcentral